UGACAUGAUGAGUUUACCUUGGAAUCUCGUUCGGCUGAACAUUGCUGUUGAGACUUGGAAUCUGAGUCAG
Molecule: small nucleolar RNA, 70 nt
Filed under: Sphenodon punctatus (tuatara)
Lineage: Eukaryota; Metazoa; Chordata; Lepidosauria; Sphenodontia; Sphenodontidae
Description: Small nucleolar RNA SNORD30 (ENSSPUG00000008111.1)
Rfam family: Small nucleolar RNA SNORD30
About the family: U30 is a member of the C/D class of snoRNA which contain the C (UGAUGA) and D (CUGA) box motifs. U30 is encoded within the U22 snoRNA host gene (UHG) in mammals and is thought to act as a 2'-O-ribose methylation guide for ribosomal RNA.
Source: Rfam by way of RNAcentral